CAACUUUCAGCAAUGGAUCUCUUGGCUCUCGCAUCGAUGAAGAACGCAGCGAAUAGCGAUAUGUAAUGUGAAUUGCAGAUCUACAGUGAAUCAUCGAAUCUUUGAAACGCACCUUGCGCUCCUCGGUGUUCCGAGGAGCAUGCCUGUUUGAGCGUCAGUA
This 160-nucleotide ribosomal RNA is filed under the name Suillus bovinus. Its description in RNAcentral is "5.8S ribosomal RNA". It matches the Rfam family "5.8S ribosomal RNA". Rfam says of the family: 5.8S ribosomal RNA (5.8S rRNA) is a component of the large subunit of the eukaryotic ribosome. It is transcribed by RNA polymerase I as part of the 45S precursor that also contains 18S and 28S rRNA. Functionally, it is thought that 5.8S rRNA may be involved in ribosome translocation. The record is from RNAcentral. Lineage: Eukaryota; Fungi; Basidiomycota; Agaricomycetes; Boletales; Suillaceae.